GUGCCAGCCGCCGCGGUAAUACGGAGGGGGCAAGCGUUGUUCGGAAUUAUUGGGCGUAAAGAGUAUGUAGGCGGCUAUUUAAGUCAGACGUGUAAGCCCACGGCUCAACCGUGGAAUUGCGUUUGAAACUAUUUAGCUUGAGUUCAGGAGAGGAAGGCGGAAUUCCCAGUGUAGCGGUGAAAUGCAUUGAUAUUGGGAAGAACACCGGUGGCGAAGGCGGCCUUCUGGUCUGAUACUGACGCUGAGAUACGAAAGCCAGGGGAGCGAACGGGAUUAGAUACCCCCGUAGUCCG
RNAcentral lists this ribosomal RNA (293 nucleotides) under uncultured Nitrospina sp. RNAcentral's name for it is "partial 16S ribosomal RNA". It matches the Rfam family "Bacterial small subunit ribosomal RNA", at positions 505 to 797 of the family's 1533-position model. The record is from RNAcentral. Lineage: Bacteria; Pseudomonadati; Nitrospinota; Nitrospinia; Nitrospinales; Nitrospinaceae.